Molecule: ribosomal RNA, 498 nt
Filed under: uncultured bacterium
Lineage: Bacteria
Description: bacterial SSU rRNA
Rfam family: Bacterial small subunit ribosomal RNA
Source: RNAcentral
ACUCAAAGGAAUUGACGGGGGCCCGCACAAGCGGAGGAACAUGUGGUUUAAUUCGAUGAUACGCGAGGAACCUUACCCGGGCUUGAAAUGCAUUUGACCGGCCGCGAAAACGGCCUUCCCUUCGGGGCAGAUGUGUAGGUGCUGCAUGGUUGUCGUCAGCUCGUGCCGUGAGGUGUCGGCUUAAGUGCCAUAACGAGCGCAACCCUCAUCGUUAGUUACCAUCAGGUCAAGCUGGGGACUCUAACGAGACUGCCAUCGUAAGAUGCGAGGAAGGUGGGGAUGACGUCAAAUCAGCACGGCCCUUACGUCCGGGGCGACACACGUGUUACAAUGGGUGGUACAAAGGGCAGCUACAUGGCGACAUGAUGCUAAUCUUCAAAACCACUCUCAGUUCGGAUCGGAGUCUGCAAUUCGACUCCGUGAAGCUGGAUUCGCUAGUAAUCGCGCAUCAGCCACGGCGCGGUGAAUACGUUCCCGGGCCUUGCACACACCGCCCGU